This 163-nucleotide unclassified non-coding RNA is filed under the name soil metagenome. Its description in RNAcentral is "partial internal transcribed spacer 1". The record is from RNAcentral.
CUGAGUUACAACCUCCCAACCCUUUGUGAACAUACCUAUACUGUUGCUUCGGCGGGUACCAGCCGCGCCCCGUAAAAAGGGACGGCCCGCCCUCCCCGCGGGGGCCCCCGAUACAACUCUGAUUUUAGUGAACUUCUUCUGAGUAAACACAGCAAAUAAAUCA